AUCGCAUAAGGUGGAUACUACAAUGAAGAUGGCAAAAAUAUCUUCUCAUGGAGAUGCUUUGGUUAAAAGUGUGGUUUAUUUAUUUAGCCACACUUUAAACAAAAAUAACACUUUUAUAAAUAUCAAAAUCUAACCAUACAAUCCAUCAUCCAAAGGUCAAAAAGAAAUAUAUUCACAUAAAGACAAUUAUAAAAUCUUCAUUGUAGUAUCCACCAAAAGUUAAAUGCUUAAA
Non-coding RNA from Arachis ipaensis, 232 nucleotides. Lineage: Eukaryota; Viridiplantae; Streptophyta; Magnoliopsida; Fabales; Fabaceae. The record is from RefSeq and is a predicted model, not a curated record.